Molecule: RNA transcript, 7180 nt
Organism: Nilaparvata lugens (brown planthopper)
Lineage: Eukaryota; Metazoa; Arthropoda; Insecta; Hemiptera; Delphacidae
Gene name: protein ANTAGONIST OF LIKE HETEROCHROMATIN PROTEIN 1-like
Exons: 6
Source: RefSeq, a predicted model, not a curated record
CCGCUACAUGUGGAAUCCGGUCGUUGCUUGUCGGUUGUCGGUCGUUUAAAAUUUAGUGAUGUUGACACUGUUGAUGUUCAUGAAUCAGAAAUAAAUUUAUUAUUAAUUGAUUAAUGUUUUCGUGCUGGUGUGUAUAGUGCUUACUAUACCUUAUUCAGUAACAUAUUUAAAUAUAACAAAUACCAGCUCAACCAGUGAUUUGUGUCUUCAGUGUCCAGUCCACUUCAGGCCUUCAUGUUUACCUUCACGUUUCCCACAACCCUACAUUGCUGGAUUUUCUUAUUAAACUUUGAACUAGUGAUUCAAAAUACGAAUUAUAUCUUAAUUGAUCAGUUAGCAACUAAGUUCUGAUUAAACACUUUUGCAAUUCACAUUAAUAUUCAGAGUUAAAUGAAUCAACAAAUGCCCUCCAAUUCUCAUCUUCCAACUGACAUUGUCGCUGGAUUGAGACUAACCAUGAUAAAAACCGGUGUUUUCUAUUGUGAAAGCACUGUUCGACACAUGAGAUGAGAAUAGUGUUGCACAGUAAUAAAACUAAUUUCGCAAAUGCAUAAGAGAAUUUUGACAAUACAUAAGAAGAUGGACACUGGACUGAGACCGGGAAAAACAGGAAGCAUCACAGAAAUUUGACAACACCAAGCAACAAGCCAUUUGUAAAUUUCAAAGGCCAUCAAUAUGGAGUGGACCAAAUAGAAAGCUGGAGCAUCUACCACCUCCUAUGCUCUGACCUCUGCUACUCCAGACGCCAGAGCAAGGGUGAUGAAGGAAGCUUCAUGACCAAAAUGACAUCUGAGCAAGAAGCAACCUCUAGUAGAGGAGGAGCCUGCCUGCUUCCUUGUUAAAAAGGCGGCAAACCAACAAGCCGGACAGCAGCCAGAAUCCUACCCAAAGGCUUUCAAGAUAUUGAUGAUGUGAUAAAACGUGGGACAGAUGAGUUGGUCCGAACUACCCAGCUCUACAUGGAUAGAAAACCUACAACUAGUAUUUCAACUCGGCAUCAACUAGUUGCUCUAAUCUCGUAUACUUCUAAGUGGAUACUUAUCUUCUGAUAUUUCAAUAAAAAGGUCAGGUGCAUUUGAGUGUAGAAAAACUUGGAGAAGAAAGGGCUGUUUUAUUUCUGCUGUUGUCUUUGAUCACGUAUGCAUGUCUUCACUACAACUCGUCAGUCAUGGAAAGUGCUAUUCCACUAGAGGAGACUGCAGUCUGUUUCACAUAGCAUGAAAUGUUCAGGGAUACCACCUCUAGCCUAUCAACAUCAUCGUCAUCAUCAACAUCAUCGUCAUCACCAACAUCAUCGUCAUCAUACGACUUUUACAGUGCUGUAAACGGGCGGGGGCAUCUUCACAGUGCUGACAAAAUUUGCAGCAAAUAGCUGCACAUGUGGCCUUGGCCUUAUAAUAAACUGAAUUAUUAUUUUGAUGGAAUGAAUCUUUAUUUUGAUUUUUUAUACACAUUAAAUCCUCCAUAUAGAAUUUAGUUUUUUAAAAAUUAGUCUAAAUACAAAAUGAAUCAUAAUAAAAACUAUUGAAGGUUGCAAUGUCAACAGGUUCUGAUCUAUUCUGAAAGUUUCAAGUCUCUAGCUCGUUAGGAAGUGGAUGAAAAUUAAUUGACAAAAUUCCAACCUGACCAACAACCCCCAAAGCAAGUUGAAUAAAACGCUGUUAGAAAAAAAAUGAGAAUAAUUGUGGGCUAUCGAUAGAACUAAAAAAAAACUUGAUGAGUUGAGAAUGUCUCAUUAUACAUUGUACUUUCACUCAUUUUAUUCAAAAAGUUUACUGUAGAAAAGUUCUGUUUGACUGUUCUGAUCAAAUUUUAUAAUCAGUAAAAUAAAUAUCCAAUGUUCACUAUCUAAUGUUGAGUAAUUAAAGUAGAGGAUAAAAUAGCGACAAUGGAAUUGCUGAAGGACUCUUUUUAAUUCCAUCUUAAAAGUGAGUAGUUUCCACUAAAAAUCUCUUAUGGCAUCCUUUUGGGUACCAGAAUAUAGAACUAGAGUAGUCUGCCAUCUGCCAUCUCAAUUUAUAAGCAUGAAUGAAUAAUCUUUCCUCUUUAUUCCUUAUAACAAUGAAUGAUAUUGAUUGAUCUGAUAAAGUAGGACUCCAAUUAUCACUAAUUAAGAUUGGACACCAUCAAAUAAAUGAAAAAAAAUUCAAUUUUAUUCCAUAUUCAUUUAAUUAUCAAAAUUAUGAAUAAUAAUAAUAGCCUACAUUAUAAAGUUACAAUAUUAAGCCACGGGAUGACCCAAAACGGCUUACAUAGUGAAAUAAAAUUCUUAUUAUAGAAAUCAGUUCAAGCUUGAUAGAAAAAAACAAUUGAAUUUAAAUAAACAUUUCACUAAUAAAUUAAUUCAUUUGAAAUCAAAACAUUAGAUCUCCAGACUCAACUUUCAGCGGACAAUGGAUCUUAGUUUUUUUAAAAUUUCAGCUCUAAUUUAUAUCAGAAUCAAAAAAAUCUAAAUACUGACUGAUGUCAGUCACAAUAAAAUUUGUAGUCACCAAAAAGUUUUUAGUCACCAAAAAUUGUAUAUACUUUUUUAGAACAACAAAAAAAGAGGUUGGUUUUGUAUAAUUUUGUGGUGGUGAAAAACAAAACAAUACAAUAGAGUCUAUAUUAGCCUAUAUAAGGCUACAUUGAUAUCAAAAAUCAUAAAUUGCAAGUCCUGACAGGAGAAGAGGAAAAAAGCCACGUGCUGGUAGCAUAUUACAAUACAUGCAUUAAUAACUAUAACUAUAGGUGAUGGCAAUGCUAACUAUAUAAUCAUAUUCAAUAGUUAAUUCAUGGAAAAUUUAAAACAAACAAUUGUAUAGAACAUACAAUCAUAUUACAUACGGUAGUGAAUUCAUAGAACAUUUCAUAUAAACCAUAUUAAAGUAUAUAAAAAGAGUUUCUUAUUCCACAUGAUCAAUUAUAGAUGAAAUGAAAUGAGAAAAACCAUUCCAUGAACGUGGAAAAUCAAAACCAAAUGUAUUAUAUAAUGUAUCAAGUGUACAUGUUCAAAUUCAUCAUCAAAUUAGUUCAAAUAGAAAAGCUUCAAAUUCCUUAUGUAGUUGUUUCUGGACAAGUAGGGAUUUUAGUUCACUUCACAAAAGUAAUAAUCAUGAUCUUAAUGCUAACUAUUAUAUAAUCAUAUUCAAUAGUUUAGUUUAUUCAUAGACAAAAUAAGAAGUAUUUUAUACUAUAUAACCAGAGUUCCUUAUCUUACAUGAUCAAUUAUACUCGAAAUAAAACAAAAAUUACAUUCCAUGAACGUGGAAAAUAAUUCAAAACCAAAUGUAUUAUAAAAUGUACUGAGAGUACAUGUUCAAAUUCAUCAUCAAAUUAGUUCAAAUAAAAAAAAGCUUCAAAUUCCUUAUGUAAGAAUUCCUAGACAAGUUGGGAUUUUAGUUCACUUCACAAAAGUAAUAAUCAUAAUCUUAAUGCUAACUAUUAUAUAAUCAUAUUCAAUAGUUUAGUUUAUUCAUAGACAAAAUAACAAGUAUUUUUUACUAUAUAACCAGAGUUCCUUAUCUCACAUGUAUAAUUAUACUCAAAAUAAAACAUUCUCAAUUAUACUCGAAAUAAAACAAAAAUUCUAUUCCACAAACGUGGAAAAUAAUUCAAAACCAAAUGUAUUAUAAAAUGUACUGAGAGUACAUGUUCAAAUUCAUCUUCAAAUUGGUUCAAAUAAAAAAGCUUCAAAUUCCUUAUGUAAGAAUUUCUAGACAAGUUGGGAUUUUAGUUCACUUCACAAAAGUAAUAAUCAUAAUCUUAAUGUUAACUGUACAAUCAUAUUCAAUAGUUUAGUUUAUUUGUAGACAAAAUAAGAAAUAUUUCAUACUAUAUAACCAGAGUUCCUUAUCUCACAUGAUCAAUUAUACUCGAAAUAAAACAAAAAUUCAAUUCCAUGAAUGUGGAAAAUAAUCCAAAACCAAAUGUUUUAUAGAAUGUACUAAGAGUACAUGUUCAAAUUCAUCAUCAAAUUAGUUCAAAUAAAAAAGCUUCACAUUCCUUAUGUAAGAAUUUCUAGACAAGUUGGAAUUUUAGUUCACUUCACAAAAGUAAUAAUCAUAAUCUUAAUGCUAACUGUACAAUCAUAUUCAAUAGUUUAGUUUAUUUGUAGACAAAAUAAGAAGUAUUUUAUACUAUAUAACCAGAGUUCCUUAUUUCAUGUGAUCAAUUAUAUAUGAAAUAGAAUGAGAGAAACCAUUCCAUGAACAUGGAAAAUAAUACAAAAUCAAAUUUAUUAUGGAGUUUUAAUAGCAAAAAAGGUUUAGGCCUAUCAUGUAUUUUAUUUCGACAUCACGUGCAUAAACGUUGCUAAAAAUAUUUAGAUAUUGUUUUAGAAUAAGUUUGAAGUUGAGUUUAAGCUUUAAAAACUACAACAUUCAUAGUUAGGUUCUUCACAAGUUGAAACAGUAUAAAGGGAAAACUGUUUUUUAAUAAUAGAAUUUCUUUGAAGGAAAUUGAAGCAAUUGGGAGGAGUUUGAAGCUCUCUUAUUUGUGGGAAUUUGAUGAAAAAAUUGAUAAUGUAUGCACAGAUUAAGGUAUUAAUUGCAUUUCAACGCAGUUUAUUAAACAUGUUUUUCACAUGAUAUUUAAUGUUAGACCAUGACCUAUUGCUCAAACAAGCUUCUUUUUCCAAACACCGGUCACAUUCUUCUUUGUUUGGAACCUUUUUCAUGAUUAUAUGUUUUUGAAAGUGUCUUACUACAGCAUCGGUUUCUUCUUGGGACCACAUCUUUCUUACAACAGUAACUCUACGUUUCUUCACUCUAGUGUUGGCUCUACCAGAAGCAACGGUAGACUGUCCAUCAUGAGGCCUUUCACUUUUAUUUUCUGGGGAUGAAGUGUUUGAGUCAGCUUCAUAAGUUUGAGAUGUCAAAGGUUGAUCUUCAUUUAUCUCAACACUUCUUGUCCCCUCAUCUUCAUGAUCACUAGCAUCUGACUCUGUUAAGCUAUCAUUGCCCAUGUCAACUUGAAGGUCAUCAAAGUUUUGUCCUUUCAUUUCUUUCAACUUACCUGAUUCUAAAGCUAGUAGUAACUUGCUUAUUUUGGCUACUUGGCCCACAUCGUCUGGGAGCCGGUAAUAUUCUUUGUGAACAUUGACAGAAUGACCCAUAAAUGUAGCCAAACACUCAAUCUCAUUUCCAGACAAAUUCAGAAGUUGAGACAUUGUUGCUACAUGUUUACGCAAUUUGGUGGACCUGAUCAGCUCUGGGUACUGCACACCAGACUGUUUAGCAAAAUGCCUUAGAACAUCACAACCUCGAAAACAACUGUUUUUGGUUCUUGGUAUGGCAAAAAAAUAUGGAUUUUCAAUACAGAUGUUUGCUAUGUCCCUUGUUGUCAUAAGCAGUUCCAUAUUUUUUCUCAUCCCUUCAGUUAAGAGAACAGGGACAGGGGCGCCUCUUUUGCCUCGACAUUGAAAUCUAGCCCAUGUCUUGCACAAUUUUUUUUCAGUUUCUGUUAACAGAGUGUCAAUGUCAGAAGUAGUCUUGGGGUUAUUUAUAGUUAGGUAAUGAGCAACCUCAAUUCUUUGGGCUUCGCCAGAUCUUCUCCUAUUCAGUAGAAUGAUGUGGGCUAAAGAUAUUUUUCCUAGUUCCCUCCAUACACUUUCAGAAGGAAGCUUUUUCAUUUGGUCAUACAAACUCUUUUCUUCUUUUAUUAUAAAAUCAUGAAGUUGUUUCAAAUCUUCAGCAAGGGGAAUUCUUGUGGGUUUAUUCCACUUUGCUGUACUCAAAGUUUUUGAUGCAUUGGAAGAUACAUCAUACUUCCACAUUUUGGGUAAAAGCUGAUGAAACCUCUUUCCUCUCUUUCGUAAAUAUUCGUUACUUGUUGUUGUACCCUUGAACUCAAUGAUUUCGGAGCAGCUCCUAAGGGAGUGCCCUAGUUUCAAGGCCAAUGAAGGCACUUUGUAUUUACCAUUUUCUUCAUUGAAUCCGGCAAUUGUGUUAACCGCCUUAACUACAUCAUUGUAAAAGUCAGGGUCUAAAUAGUCUUCAAGUGUUUGAAGCUUUUUAAUUUUACCUGACUUGUCUAUUGCUGUUGGCUUAUUUGUUAGAAGUUCUAUCUUCAGUCUUGCUAAUUCUCGCAUCUUUUGGGAUAUUAUUGGUUUUACAUGUUGUUCUUUAUGUUGUUUGAGCAACCUCAACCCAAAUUCACAUAUAAGUUCAUCUUCCUGUGCAGUUUUGCUUAUUUUGUCAUUUCUCAUAAUAGGAAAAAUUUUUGUUUUCAAGCUGUCUGAACAUGAAAAGUUAGCAACUACCAAUAAGGCUUGACCUGCACUCUGCGCAUUCCUAGAGCUUUCUUUUCCACUGUUUUCUUUGCAGUCUUUCAUGUGUCGGUACAGUCGAUUUUUGGAAAAAAAUCCCAGACAUAAUUUGCAUGGGAGAUAUUUUUCAAUAUUACAAUCAUUAGUUGGUCUUUGUACGGUAAUAAUAUUACCAGAUUUUUCUCUCAGAACGUUUGUGUUAUAAUUGAAAUUUCCUUUCUUUCGGAGCUUUUCGAUCAUAGAUCUCCUCAUUGCAGAACCUUUGGGUUGAGCUAAAAUUUCGGCAACUUUCAUUUCUUCAGAAUGGUUCCUUGUUAGAUGUCUUAUGAAGUUUGUGACUAGUAAAUCACAAAAAAUACAAGAAUCUCUUUUGUCCCAAAUCCUCUUUCCAUCUUGUCUUUUUUUGGCAACCAUUACAUUAAUGUUCUCUCCAUCAGAUAGGCCUGCACCAGAAGCACUGGUAGAUUGGCCUGCGCCAGAAGCAAUGGUAGACUGCCCACCGCCAGCAGAUUCCUCUACACCACCUGAAAUUGUGGAUUGGCAUGCGCCCAAAGCAAUAGUAGACUGUCCACUACCAGUACAUUCCUCAGCACCAGCUGAAAUGGUACAUUGGCCUGCACCAGAAGCAAUUGUAGACUGCCCAUCACCAGUAGAUUCUUCAGCACCAGAUGAGAUGGUAGAUUGGCCUGCACCAGAAGCAAUUGUAGACUGCCCAUCACCAGUAGAUUCUUCAGCACCAGCUGAGAUGGUAGAUUGGCCUGCACCAGAAGCAAUUGUAGACUGCCCACCAGCUGAGCCUUCUUCUUCAAACUCAUCAGGAUCCCAAUCAGUAAGCUAGAAAGAGGAACAAAAGAUUAACCACUACUUCAUGUGUAAUAAGUAGUUGAGAUGAUAUUGUGGUAGAUAUCUCUAGUGAAUAAAGACUAGAAAUUA